AAAUUGAAGAGUUUGAUCAUGGCUCAGAUUGAACGCUGGCGGCAGGCCUAACACAUGCAAGUCGAACGGUAACAGGAAGCAGCUUGCUGCUUCGCUGACGAGUGGCGGACGGGUGAGUAAUGUCUGGGAAACUGCCUGAUGGAGGGGGAUAACUACUGGAAACGGUAGCUAAUACCGCAUAACGUCGCAAGACCAAAGAGGGGGACCUUCGGGCCUCUUACCAUCGGAUGUGCCCAGAUGGGAUUAGCUAGUAGGUGGGGUAACGGCUCACCUAGGCGACGAUCCCUAGCUGGUCUGAGAGGAUGACCAGCCACACUGGAACUGAGACACGGUCCAGACUCCUACGGGAGGCAGCAGUGGGGAAUAUUGCACAAUGGGCGCAAGCCUGAUGCAGCCAUGCCGCGUGUAUGAAGAAGGCCUUCGGGUUGUAAAGUACUUUCAGCGGGGAGGAAGGCGGUGAGGUUAAUAACCUCAUCGAUUGACGUUACCCGCAGAAGAAGCACCGGCUAACUCCGUGCCAGCAGCCGCGGUAAUACGGAGGGUGCAAGCGUUAAUCGGAAUUACUGGGCGUAAAGCGCACGCAGGCGGUCUGUCAAGUCGGAUGUGAAAUCCCCGGGCUCAACCUGGGAACUGCAUUCGAAACUGGCAGGCUAGAGUCUUGUAGAGGGGGGUAGAAUUCCAGGUGUAGCGGUGAAAUGCGUAGAGAUCUGGAGGAAUACCGGUGGCGAAGGCGGCCCCCUGGACAAAGACUGACGCUCAGGUGCGAAAGCGUGGGGAGCAAACAGGAUUAGAUACCCUGGUAGUCCACGCCGUAAACGAUGUCGACUUGGAGGUUGUGCCCUUGAGGCGUGGCUUCCGGAGCUAACGCGUUAAGUCGACCGCCUGGGGAGUACGGCCGCAAGGUUAAAACUCAAAUGAAUUGACGGGGGCCCGCACAAGCGGUGGAGCAUGUGGUUUAAUUCGAUGCAACGCGAAGAACCUUACCUACUCUUGACAUCCAGAGAACUUUCCAGAGAUGGAUUGGUGCCUUCGGGAACUCUGAGACAGGUGCUGCAUGGCUGUCGUCAGCUCGUGUUGUGAAAUGUUGGGUUAAGUCCCGCAACGAGCGCAACCCUUAUCCUUUGUUGCCAGCGGUCCGGCCGGGAACUCAAAGGAGACUGCCAGUGAUAAACUGGAGGAAGGUGGGGAUGACGUCAAGUCAUCAUGGCCCUUACGAGUAGGGCUACACACGUGCUACAAUGGCGCAUACAAAGAGAAGCGACCUCGCGAGAGCAAGCGGACCUCAUAAAGUGCGUCGUAGUCCGGAUUGGAGUCUGCAACUCGACUCCAUGAAGUCGGAAUCGCUAGUAAUCGUGGAUCAGAAUGCCACGGUGAAUACGUUCCCGGGCCUUGUACACACCGCCCGUCACACCAUGGGAGUGGGUUGCAAAAGAAGUAGGUAGCUUAACCUUCGGGAGGGCGCUUACCACUUUGUGAUUCAUGACUGGGGUGAAGUCGUAACAAGGUAACCGUAGGGGAACCUGCGGUUGGAUCACCUCCUUA
RNAcentral lists this ribosomal RNA (1542 nucleotides) under Enterobacter hormaechei. Its description in RNAcentral is "bacterial SSU rRNA". It matches the Rfam family "Bacterial small subunit ribosomal RNA". The record is from RNAcentral. Lineage: Bacteria; Pseudomonadati; Pseudomonadota; Gammaproteobacteria; Enterobacterales; Enterobacteriaceae.